This 690-nucleotide ribosomal RNA is filed under the name Flavobacterium sp. B990_2. RNAcentral's name for it is "bacterial SSU rRNA". It matches the Rfam family "Bacterial small subunit ribosomal RNA", at positions 85 to 773 of the family's 1533-position model. The record is from RNAcentral. Lineage: Bacteria; Pseudomonadati; Bacteroidota; Flavobacteriia; Flavobacteriales; Flavobacteriaceae.
GGAGCAGAGACCGGCGCACGGGUGCGUAACGCGUAUGCAAUCUACCUUUCACAGAGGGAUAGCCCAGAGAAAUUUGGAUUAAUACCUCAUAGUAUAGCAGUUUCGCAUGAAACCACUAUUAAAGUCACAACGGUGAAAGAUGAGCAUGCGUCCCAUUAGCUAGUUGGUAAGGUAACGGCUUACCAAGGCAACGAUGGGUAGGGGUCCUGAGAGGGAGAUCCCCCACACUGGUACUGAGACACGGACCAGACUCCUACGGGAGGCAGCAGUGAGGAAUAUUGGACAAUGGGCGCAAGCCUGAUCCAGCCAUGCCGCGUGCAGGAUGACGGUCCUAUGGAUUGUAAACUGCUUUUAUACGAGAAGAAACCCUCCGACGUGUCGGAGCUUGACGGUAUCGUAAGAAUAAGGAUCGGCUAACUCCGUGCCAGCAGCCGCGGUAAUACGGAGGAUCCAAGCGUUAUCCGGAAUCAUUGGGUUUAAAGGGUCCGUAGGCGGUCAGGUAAGUCAGUGGUGAAAGCCCAUCGCUCAACGGUGGAACGGCCAUUGAUACUGUCUGACUUGAAUUAUUAGGAAGUAACUAGAAUAUGUAGUGUAGCGGUGAAAUGCUUAGAGAUUACAUGGAAUACCAAUUGCGAAGGCAGGUUACUACUAAUGGAUUGACGCUGAUGGACGAAAGCGUGGGUAGCGAAC